Molecule: ribosomal RNA, 397 nt
Filed under: uncultured bacterium
Lineage: Bacteria
Description: partial 16S ribosomal RNA
Rfam family: Bacterial small subunit ribosomal RNA
Source: RNAcentral
AUACGUAGGGAGCAAGCGUUAUCCGGAUUUAUUGGGUGUAAAGGGUGCGUAGACGGGAAAGCAAGUUGGUUGUGAAAUCCCUCGGCUUAACUGAGGAACUGCAACCAAAACUACUAUUCUUGAGUGCGGGAGAGGAAAGCGGAAUUCCUAGUGUAGCGGUGAAAUGCGUAGAUAUUAGGAGGAACACCAGUGGCGAAGGCGGCUUUCUGGACCGUAACUGACGUUGAAGCACGAAAGUGUGGGGAGCAAACAGGAUUAGAUACCCUGGUAGUCCACACUGUAAACGAUGGAUACUAGGUGUAGGGAGUUAUAUACUUUCUGUGCCGAAAGCAAACGCAAUAAGUAUCCCACCUGGGGAGUACGACCGCAAGGUUGAAACUCAAAGGAAUUGACGGGG